UCAUUUCAGAGCAAAAAUGGAUUUUUAAGUUUAAGGUACAGAGCUGUUUUACAGUGAGCAUUUGAGGUUACGUGAUGGUUUGACUGUUUUAUAGGGCAAUACAGUUUAUUGUUUUUAGCUGAAAACGGCAACAGUUGUAGUAAUUAAUUUGAAAUUAUCUCAGGAAUUAAGUGCAACUAAUCCGGAUCAACUAGACUUAAUUCCUAUAAUUCAAGAGGGUUAGAGGAAUUUUCAAUGGCAGCACUACCGAAAAACACAGUUAAUAUCUAUUGUGAAUAAAAAAUUAUAAAACUUAAAAAGGAGAGCAAAAAAGGCGGAAAACAAUCUGGAACAAUAUGAUGAGCACUACAGCAAUGAGAAGCAGAAUGAAACGUUUAACUCGGACGAACAGCCGUUCAUAGCUAAAUGAGGAGAACGUGCAUAUGAUUUGCGGAGGACAAAAAUAAAUGCUCACAUAUAAAUGACGUUGCUGUCGAAAUGUCACUUAUGGUCGAAAUGGCAGGCAAAUACAAUGCGGUGAAGAUCCAUAUAAAAAUAAAAAACUUUACGAAGAAAUAUAGAGGAGGGAAAGAAGAAACACGUUCGAAAUUUUAUUAAUUGUUUUGAUAUUUCGGAAUAGUUUGAGAAAUUGCAAUUUAAAUUUCUUUUUAAUAAUAAUUUUUCAGUAACAGUGCAGCUAAUAACCAUA
Long non-coding RNA from Anastrepha ludens (Mexican fruit fly), 688 nucleotides. RefSeq lists it as uncharacterized. The transcript has 3 exons. Lineage: Eukaryota; Metazoa; Arthropoda; Insecta; Diptera; Tephritidae. The record is from RefSeq and is a predicted model, not a curated record.